Molecule: long non-coding RNA, 389 nt
Organism: Cannabis sativa
Lineage: Eukaryota; Viridiplantae; Streptophyta; Magnoliopsida; Rosales; Cannabaceae
Exons: 2
Source: RefSeq, a predicted model, not a curated record
UUUACAUGAUGUAUAUCAAUAGGGAAACUUUUAGUUGUCAAUUUAAGUCCCCGAAAGUGUUAGGACAACACUUAUUUAUUUUUCUGGAAAUGUGACUUAGGGCCUUCGAUUACCAGCAGCUAUUUCCACUAAGGUUGUCCGGCACACCUGAAAUUAGAAUUGAGGUAAAGGCAAAGCUGUUGUUGAACGACAAUGAGUUUUGAGCUGGAUGAAGAUUGUAUAUAUCGAGACAGUUCGACCUAGAGUGUUGGAUCUUUGGGACAACUAGGGCUCACGAUUUUGUAGUCGUUGUGCGACAUCUUUUGAUUAUGUAAAGUUGAAAAAUGUAGAUACGGGAUCCCAAAUUUUAUAAAUGUAAUACAGUAUAUGUUUAUUUAUUAAAGUUUAAA